Molecule: long non-coding RNA, 604 nt
Filed under: Homo sapiens (human)
Lineage: Eukaryota; Metazoa; Chordata; Mammalia; Primates; Hominidae
Description: HSALNT0155305
Source: RNAcentral
ACAGGCAUCCGCCACCACACCCGGCUAAUUUUUCUAUUUUUGGUUAGAGAUGGUGUUUUGCCAUGUUGGCCAGGCUGGUCUCUGCCUCCUGGGCUCAAUCAAUCCUUCCACUUCAGCCUCCCAAGCAGCUGAGAUAACAGCUGUGCGCCACCAUGCCCAGCAAAUUUUUUUAUUGUUGUUGUUUUCUUUGUUUUUUAUUUAUUUUUUGAUAGAGAUGGAGUUUUGCCAUGUUGCCUAGGCUGAUCUUAAACUCUUGGGCUUAAGCAAUCUGCCUGCCUUGGCUUCCCAAAGUGCUGGAAUUACAGGCAUGAACCACCACUCCUGGCCAGCUCUUGACCUUACAGGUUUUCAAAGUCUAGUUUUUUUUUUUUACUACAGAGAAACUAACUUAGAAACUGCUCGUGAAUUUCAGGAAAAAAUUAUAUUUGUUAUUUUAGGUAUGCCUAAUGUUAAUUUAAAAAUUCUUUGAUUUUACUUAUGUUCUUAUUCAUAGAGCAACUGGUGACAAUGCAAAUAUUAGCAAAGAUAAAAUAUUGAGAGCUGCUUAUGUUUGGCCAUGGUUUGGGGGCUGGGGAUACAUAGGCCUAAGAGAUGCCCUAUGCCU